Molecule: ribosomal RNA, 463 nt
Filed under: uncultured bacterium
Lineage: Bacteria
Description: bacterial SSU rRNA
Rfam family: Bacterial small subunit ribosomal RNA
Source: RNAcentral
GACGAGCGCUGGCGGCGUGCCUAACACAUGCAAGUCGAGCGAGGAGAGUUCCUUUGGGAACAAACCUAGCGGCGACGGGUGAGUAACACGUGGGCAACCUGCCUUGUAGAGGGAAUAGCCUUCCGAAAAGGAAGAUUAAUACCGCAUAAUAUUACAGUUUCGCAUGAAACAGUAAUUAAAGGAGCAAUCCGCUACAAGAUGGGCCCGCGGCGCAUUAGCUAGUUGGUGAGGUAACGGCUCACCAAGGCGACGAUGCGUAGCCGACCUGAGGGGGUGAUCGGCCACAUUGGGACUGAGACACGGCCCAGACUCCUACGGGAGGCAGCAGUGGGGAAUAUUGCACAAUGGGGGAAACCCUGAUGCAGCAACGCCGCGUGAGUGAUGAAGGUUUUCGGAUCGUAAAGCUCUGUCUUCGGGGACGAUAAUGACGGUACCCGAGGAGGAAGCCACGGCUAACUACGUG